GUUCUUCUGAUCAUCUUUCUUUGUAACUUGUCUGUUUCUUUUCUCUGGGGUUAUUCUUUGUUCAAUUUUAGUAACUUGUCAUAUCUUCUUCUUCCCCACUCUUUGUGAUUUUGUUGAUUGGUAGGAUAAUGAAAAUGGGGCUAUCUUUGUUACAGGAAUCGUAUUUGGUCCCUGACAAACUGGGAUAUUUUUUAAUUUCAAUGCAUUGUAUUCUGCCAUAUCUAGUAUUUAAAAGAAAGGAAUCAAAAUAAACCCAUUUCAAGGAUUAUAUUUGUGAUGUUUACUUGUAACCAAAAAGUUGAGGAGGACAUGUUUGAUGUUCAUCUCCCUCCACUAUUUUAUGGCCGUCCACCAAGACAGCAUAUAAUUGAGCCUGCUUGCCAUCUCCUCCAUAAAAAAGACUUCAUUCUUUUAUUAACCAGAAAUGCCCCAUUUGCCCAUCAUUGGCAUCUUGUUGUUUUCUAAUUUGGUAUCUUCUUUCUUAACAAUUUUAUACGAAAGAUUCUUAGACAUAGGAGUAUCCAAUGAGCCAAGAAACUCAUCUGUGAAUAUUACAAGGAAAAACAGCUAUGAUUGUCAGUUUGUCAAAUAAAAGAACAGCAUUAAAAAAGAUAAUAAAAAUUGAUCAUGUGAUCACUCCAUCUGAUAAAAUUAAUGUUGAAUUUGCUUCCAGGUUUGUUGGCAAGUGAAAGGAGCUUAUCAUUUGGUGCCACUACUUGGAGCUUUUGCUGCUGUUGCUAUGACAUUUUCAUCUGGUCAUAGCAAAUAUAGUUUUCUGUCUCCAAAUGGGCUAUCAUAUUUGGUGUACCACUCACUUGUCUUUGGUUUUGGUGGUUCCUUUGGCUAUUAAAGACCUUGAUUCUUCAAGAAAAAUUGCAAGACAGCAAAUGAAAACAUGGCUGAAAAGCAACAAUGUGUAGAAGGUUGGGUUCAGAUUCAGACCGAUGAUGAUAUUGAAGAAGUAUUGAAAGAGUUCAUGGAGAUGAGAGGUUUUGACACAGCCUAUGAAGAGGAAGAGCAAAGCUUGGCCUCGUCGGAUGCAAUCCAAACAAGCAAAGAUCCUGAGCAAGCUCAAUCUAUGUAGCAGAUUAAUUUGACUGAACAAUGUACACCAUUUAAACAAUUGCUUGAGUUGAACCCAAACCAGUUGGCUUAAACCAAGAACUUUCAGAAGACUGAGAAAACAAGCCUAUAUGAAACUGCCCCCAAGUUCAUCAGGAAGUUCACAAAAUCCACAAGUCUCCAGUAAGUGAUCUCUGAGUCUUAUAAUCAACAAAGAAAAUUAAAGGCUCUGUUAAAAAUUAUAGUUAGAGAAGUAAAGUUAGUUCUCUGAUGAUGUUUUCAAGCACAGAGAAAAAUAUUCCAGAAAUGUGGUGAGUUUGCUUUCAACUUCUACUGAAACUACAUAGCUUGUAACAUUUACAUUGAAAUAAAGCAAUUAACAAUUGUGAA
Long non-coding RNA from Mangifera indica (mango), 1452 nucleotides. RefSeq lists it as uncharacterized. NCBI's taxonomy places the organism in Eukaryota, Viridiplantae, Streptophyta, Magnoliopsida, Sapindales, Anacardiaceae. The transcript has 3 exons. The record is from RefSeq and is a predicted model, not a curated record.